GGCACGGUGGUUUAGUGGUUAGCACUUAGCACUGUUGCUUUGCAACUGUGGGGCUGGGGGUUCGAAUCCCACCUCUGCCC
Molecule: non-coding RNA, 80 nt
Organism: Pangasianodon gigas (Mekong giant catfish)
Lineage: Eukaryota; Metazoa; Chordata; Actinopteri; Siluriformes; Pangasiidae
Source: the annotation of a GenBank genome assembly